GGUUGGAGUGGCCUGGGAGAUUAGGAAAAGCUCUAGCUUCCCAAGCUAGCUACGAGGGUUCGAUUCCCUUCACCCGCUCC
This 80-nucleotide transfer RNA is filed under the name Sporomusa silvacetica DSM 10669. Its description in RNAcentral is "tRNA-Gly". The record is from RNAcentral. Lineage: Bacteria; Bacillati; Bacillota; Negativicutes; Selenomonadales; Sporomusaceae.